This 654-nucleotide long non-coding RNA is filed under the name Mus caroli (Ryukyu mouse). RNAcentral describes it as "predicted gene 7467 (MGP_CAROLIEiJ_G0003695.1)". The record is from RNAcentral. Lineage: Eukaryota; Metazoa; Chordata; Mammalia; Rodentia; Muridae.
AGGCAGCCCCGAAGCCGCGCCUGGGGAUCCCGGGCACCCGAGGAAAUCCCACUCCUGCAGGCCGGCGUGAGCUCGCUCCACGGCCGCCGAGGGAAGCCGGGAUGCCCCGAGGCCCCCUUCCCUGCGCAGGCCGGGAGGCGGGGCCUAGCGGAGGGUGCGGCCGCCCGCAGCGCCCUGGGCGGCUCGCGGUUCCCCGGGAUGCGUCGCUCCCAACCAGUGGGAGCCGCCGCCUGGAGUGGUGCCUCUGUCCCCGGGAAAGCAGAGAGCUUGGCCUACGCCAAGUUAGACUUCUCCAGCCCAGUGCUCGGCUUCCUCUCCUAGAGGUUCGUGGGAUGCCUGGGACUCGGUUUCCCGGCUCCUAGAGACACGCUAGGCUGGCCGCUCCCCGGAGAUGGGCCUGGACGACCCAAGUGACCUCGGCUGUAGCCAGGGAAGCAAAAGGUCGGGAUGUGUUUGCUCCUCUUAUGAAAAGGCAGGGGACACUGCAAAAGAUGAGCAUGGCGCUAGGGAUGAACCAGGACCCUAGUUUACACUGGUUUCUUAGCUACUGCACCCGAAUUACUGGGAAAGCAGCUAAUUCAUAGCAAUUUCUUUUAAAAAAUCAACUCGGACAGCAAACAGAAGGCAAUAAAUGAACCUAUACUCUUUAGCUCC